GACGAACGCUGGCGGCGUGCUUAACACAUGCAAGUCGAGCGGAAAGGCCCUUCGGGGUAUUCGAGCGGGGAACGGGCGGGUAACACGUGAGUAACCUGCUCUCGGCUUUGGGAUAACGCCGGGACACCUGGGCUAAUAACGUAUAUGCCCUUGAGCUGUCUGGCGGUGGGUUUAGAGUGUUUUCGGUCUGUGAUGGGCUCGUGGCCUAUCAGCUUGCUGGUGGGGUGAUGGCUUACCAAGUAGCUGACGGGUAGCCGGCCUGUGAGUGCGAGCGGCCACACUGGGACUGCGACACGGCCCAGAAGGCUACGGGAGGCAGCAGUCGGAAAUAUUGCACAAUGGGGGGAAGCCUGUGGCAGCGACGCUGGGUGCGGAAUGAAGUCCUUCUGGUUGUAAACCACUGUCAGCAGAAACGAAGCGUGAGUGACGGUACCUGCAGAAGAAGCGCCGGCCAACUACGUG
This 462-nucleotide ribosomal RNA is filed under the name uncultured bacterium. Its description in RNAcentral is "partial 16S ribosomal RNA". It matches the Rfam family "Bacterial small subunit ribosomal RNA", at positions 28 to 507 of the family's 1533-position model. The record is from RNAcentral.